UGGGGAAUAUUGCACAAUGGGCGCAAGCCUGAUGCAGCCAUGCCGCGUGUAUGAAGAAGGCCUUCGGGUUGUAAAGUACUUUCAGUCGGGAGGAAGGUGGCAAGGUUAAUAACCUUGGCAAUUGACGUUACCGACAGAAGAAGCACCGGCUAACUCCGUGCCAGCAGCCGCGGUAAUACGGAGGGUGCAAGCGUUAAUCGGAAUUACUGGGCGUAAAGCGCACGCAGGCGGUUGAUUGAGUCAGAUGUGAAAUCCCCGGGCUUAACCCGGGAAUUGCAUCUGAUACUGGUCAGCUAGAGUCUUGUAGAGGGGGGUAGAAUUCCAUGUGUAGCGGUGAAAUGCGUAGAGAUGUGGAGGAAUACCGGUGGCGAAGGCGGCCCCCUGGACAAAGACUGACGCUCAGGUGCGAAAGCGUGGGGAGCAAACAGG
This 429-nucleotide ribosomal RNA is filed under the name Chloroflexota bacterium. RNAcentral describes it as "Chloroflexi bacterium partial 16S ribosomal RNA". It matches the Rfam family "Bacterial small subunit ribosomal RNA", at positions 355 to 776 of the family's 1533-position model. Lineage: Bacteria; Bacillati; Chloroflexota. The record is from RNAcentral.